UACUCUGUAUAAAAAAGGAAUUAUUAAAAAAAGUCUUUUUUUUUAAGGCAAAUUGAAUGAUUCAUUGAUCGAAAAUUGUAUUCAUAUCAUACCUAUAAGCAGAACAAGGCUGAUAAUUUUAUUACAAUCAAUACAUGAAAAUAUUUUGGCAAAAAUUAAAAAAAAAAAAUAAUAAUAAAAAAAACCAGACAAAUCUGAGCAAAACAAAUCAAAAUUAAAGAUGACGUAACUUUUAAUGGAAAAAUAAUACAAUGACGAGAAAAAAAAUAAAAGAAAAAAAGUACAUAAUGAAUUUUGUGUUGUUUUACCAAGAGCGCCGGAAACAAAAAUUGAUAAGAUAUCUGAUUGAAAGAACUAU
This is a long non-coding RNA of Episyrphus balteatus (marmalade hoverfly), 358 nucleotides long. RefSeq lists it as uncharacterized. The transcript is spliced from 2 exons. The record is from RefSeq and is a predicted model, not a curated record. Lineage: Eukaryota; Metazoa; Arthropoda; Insecta; Diptera; Syrphidae.